GAGUUAUUCUGAGGUAAGAGGCAGGAGAUGCUCUGUGAUAACACAAAGCCAUACAUUUUUUUCCAUAAGACACAAAAAAAUAGAGCACCCAAUGAAACUGCAAGUCUUUGCUGCAAGCGCCCACAGGAACUGAAAUUAUAGUCUAUGAGCAUGACUACAUUCCUGCACCAUUUACCUUUGCUGUCUUUGCCAACAGUUAUACCAGCAAAAACUUGCUAAUUCUCCCACCCUCCCCCAGCUUCAGUAUAAACUGCACGUACUUCGCAGAUAUACCCGUCAACUGCUUUAAGCACAGACAAGAUCUAUAAAUGUCCAAAAAUCACUUAGUCAUUCUUUCCUUUAUUGGUUGCAAUUCUUUUCUUGGCAGCAAGGAUAGAAAGAGAUUGCAAAGCUUGACAGCUGAGCAGCUCUUUUAGAAGGGUUAGGGAGAGAACAGGGUGUGUCCUUGUUUGCUUUGCCCCAGGUGUUCCAGUGAUGCCACUGAACUUAAACCUCAGCUGGUUGAGCAAUAAGAAAUAAAAUCACAUUCCUCUCUGCUCUGUGUUUUGGAUGGAAGGAUGCACUGAUUUGGGGCUGCUGUUCCAAGAAAAGAAGGGGCAUUUGGUCAAACGUUCAGCUGGAUGCUGUCCGUCUGCAUCGUGAUUCAUCUUCUUUAUUUCAGCCAACUCUUUCACUAUCACCCUCCAAGCUCUGCUGCUAAAUUCUGCUUCCUAUUUCUUCACUUUCAAAGAAAAUGGCAAAAUGACCUGUAGACAAACAGUGCACUUUGUGUCUUUGUGGCAAAGUGCCCCAGGAAGAACAGGUAGCAGAGGUGGGAGUGGCAGAAGAGUACAACAAACACAAACUCUCAGAGGGGGGCAAUGAUAAAGCGUUGAUUUCAAACUGUGUGUCUAUCUCAGGCACUCUUCUAUGGAAAAGCUCAGUUAAUUAUGUAGUUGCUAGUACAGCAAUAUUAACUUGAACAGGAUAUGAUUUGGAUGAUAAAAAAAGCACAAGAGCUGGCAGUCAUCUUACAAAACUUGCCUUGCCACUUAUGGAACACACACUCAUUGAAGCACAUGGCAGUUGCCUGAACCUUUGAAAGAUUUCUUAGCUCUACAUCCUAGAUUCAAAAGCUUUCCUUAAAUCUUUUCAUCAAUCUUUUCUAAACCUCUUUUGUCUCAGGCAAAUUCAAACAGCUAUGUGGGAUGGAAAAGUAAAGCUAGUAACAUCUGUACUGUGAUGACAAAUUAUUUCAGGUUUUCUUUCUGUUUCUGGGAGAUGCUUUGCAGAUGUCAAAGCCUCAAGGAAUCAUGACACUUUCCUCUCCUUAACCCCACUGAACGUGGCAUUCACUAUUUGCAAAUACUGAAUUACUACUCACCACACCCCAGUAAGACAGGCUAUUACCACUCAAGUAAACAGGCAGGGAAUGGAGGCACAGAAUGACUAAGUGAUUAUUCCAACAUCAUGAUACAAGU
This 1460-nucleotide long non-coding RNA is filed under the name Strigops habroptila (Kakapo). Its description in RNAcentral is "lncRNA (ENSSHBG00005002509.1)". Lineage: Eukaryota; Metazoa; Chordata; Aves; Psittaciformes; Psittacidae. The record is from RNAcentral.